AUCCUCCUGGACCGUGGAUCGAAUUCGUGUUUGCUGCAUUGGCAGAUAGUGAGGGAACGUGCCCUUGCUGGCUGGCCAGAGGAUUGGAGACAACACUGCAGUGCAGUACUUUGAACCACCUUGACCUUCUGACCACCUGACAUCCCAAAGACCUGCAGGCUGUUCCUUUCGACUGGUGGUUUGCACCCGCAGCAGUCCUGUUUCCAGGGGAGAUUCGCUGUUGCAACAGGUGGGAUGCAGAAUCAGAUGUGAGAAUCCAGCUGUCUUCUGUUCACUGGACAUGGAAGAGAUGCAAAACUGGAAAACAAUGUCUCUCUUUUUAUGGAAUAUUUUUGUUUUGGAAAA
Molecule: long non-coding RNA, 345 nt
Organism: Capra hircus (goat)
Lineage: Eukaryota; Metazoa; Chordata; Mammalia; Artiodactyla; Bovidae
Exons: 3
Source: RefSeq, a predicted model, not a curated record